Molecule: long non-coding RNA, 754 nt
Filed under: Homo sapiens (human)
Lineage: Eukaryota; Metazoa; Chordata; Mammalia; Primates; Hominidae
Description: HSALNT0386914
Source: RNAcentral
CCUGUGCAGCAUUGCUUCAACAUAAAAAUCCCUUAUUAAUGUUGUGUUACUCUUCCACUUCCCUUUUAUUUCCAAGAUCUUCCCUUUCACCCCAGUGCAGUCGCAGACCAUUGUGACUACGCCUGGUUCUGUUGUUCUAAGGAAGUCCUCCACUGAACUUGGUGGGUUGAUUGCAGGGAGAGGCUCCUCCGUGCUCCUGAGAGGCCGAACACAGGGUCGCCAGCACAGCUUACUGCUCGGUGUCUCCUGAGCCACAGAGGAAGACGUGGCAGGAGCACCUGGUGCUAAUAUAUAUUCAUGUCUAUGGCAAUGCCGACCAUCUGGCUGGUCUGAACCAGGAUAAAAGUGAAGAAUUCCUCUGUGAAGACCCAGCUCUUUCUUUGGCUCCUUUUUUGAAGCCAUCUUUGCUCUGCUCUCCUCUGCUGCCCAGAAAGUUCCAGAGUGAAGCUCAGCUCUAGAUGAACAAAAACUGGUUGAGUCCAGAGAUGCCUGAGUUGGAGAUGAACCUUGCAAACUUUCCUCAUUACCAUACUAAAAACCCCACCCAGGAAGGAGCUUAUCUGCCAUUUCCUACACAUGUGACAUAUGGAGAAGCAUGAUCAGCUACUUCACAGUCUCUGCCUUUACUCUGCCUCCGCAUACAAUGGCUCAGCCAACUAGCCUAACGAAAGCUGUUUUCACCAUUGUUUGGGAGGUACUGCUUUGGGAAACUGCCCCAGCUGUCCUCCUUACUUGUUGUAGGUAAUAAAAUCCC